GAUGAACGCUGGCGGCGUGCCUAAUACAUGCAAGUCGAGCGAACAGACGAGGAGCUUGCUCCUCUGCCGUUAGCGGCGGACGGGUGAGUCCCACGUGGAUAACCUACCUAUAAGACUGGGAUAACUUCGGGAAACCGGAGCUAACACCGGAUAAUAUAUUGAACCGCAUGGUUCAAUAGUGAAAGACGGUUUUGCUGAGACUUAGAGAUGGAUCCGCGCCGCAUUAGCUAGUUGGUAAGGUAACGGCUUACCAAGGCAACGAUGCGUAGCCGACCUGAGAGGGUGAUCGGCCACACUGGAACUGAGACACGGUCCAGACUCCUACGGGAGGCAGCAGUAGGGAAUCUUGCGCAAUGGGCGAAAGCCUGACGGAGCAACGCCGCGUGAGUGAUGAAGGUCUUCGGAUCGUAAAGCUCUGUUAGUAGGGAAGAACAAAUGUGUAAGUAACUCUGCACGUCUUGACGGUACCUAAUCAGAAAGCCACGGCUAACUACGUG
Molecule: ribosomal RNA, 497 nt
Filed under: uncultured bacterium
Lineage: Bacteria
Description: partial 16S ribosomal RNA
Rfam family: Bacterial small subunit ribosomal RNA
Source: RNAcentral